Long non-coding RNA from Scylla paramamosain (green mud crab), 5860 nucleotides. RefSeq lists it as uncharacterized. Lineage: Eukaryota; Metazoa; Arthropoda; Malacostraca; Decapoda; Portunidae. The transcript is spliced from 2 exons. The record is from RefSeq and is a predicted model, not a curated record.
AUUAUUAUUAUUAUUUUUUUUUUUAAUCAUGAUCUACUCAGUGAAAAGAUUAACGAAAUUAUAAACUGAAUCUAACAUAGUUUAACCAACCCACUCUCAGAUAGAAAUGCUAGUGCUAUUUCAGUGUUAUCCAUUGAUUUUUUAGAAAGUGGAUGAAGUGAAGGAGGAGUUUUAACAGAAAGGAAGAGUAUGGAAGCCAAGACAGGUAGUGUUUGUUACCUGGCGUAUGUGUGACAGUGUUGGUAGGCUGCCUGGCUUGCUGCUUCUCUUUCCACAGUUUUGUGAAAGAUUUCCUUAUAAAUAGUUAUGUAAGCAUAUGAGAGGUAAUCAUUAUUUCUAUUUUUUUAUUUACUCAGAUAAAAGAUAAUAAUAAUAAUAAUAAUAAUAAUAAUAAUAAUAAUAAUAAUAAUAAUAAAAGUUGCACAUUGAUAUAUAAAAUGGUUAAUCUCAAUAGCCAAGAAUCUAAUAUUUUUACUUAAACUUCAGUUUGCCUUAAUGAUGAAGGAAAGAUAAUAAUUGAAAUGAAAAAUAUCACAUCGUAAUAUUCAUGAGAGAGAGAGAGAGAGAGAGAGAGAGAGAGAGAGAGAGAGAGAGAGAGAGAGAGAGAGAGAGAGAGAACUAAUUUUGUUUAUAGUGGGUAUUACAUCGAAAGGCAAUCAGAAUUACAACUAAAUAGAAGAAUAGAAGGAAGAACGCCUCUGGGCCGGUAUACAUAACCAUUUUUAACAGGCUAAAAGUACUUUCAGUGAUCAGUUUUAGGUUUACUGCUAACUUUUUUUUUUUUUUAAGUAAUACAUAAUCGCCUAAAACUUUUAACGGCUACGAGUGGUGAGGGGUACUUCUGAUGCGCUUAAAAUGACUUUUAAGCGGCAGGACGAAAGCCCAGCACCUCAAUUUUCGGCAAAGGAGAGGCGUGUCCUAAGAAAGCAUCGUGAUAAUCAGCUGACCGUGAAAGUUCUGCCUGCCCUUGAUUGUUAGCACAUAGUGUAGGGAACCAUUGUAACUGUAGAUCAGAACCUAGAAGCCUAAGUGGAAAUUUCCUAUUCUGACGCCCGCUGGGAGAAGUGUCUAAUUGCUGUUUGUUCUCUUAGUUUACUGGUAAAUUUUAAGAUAGGAAUAACUAAUAUAUGCAAUAAUAAAAUAAUAAUUGAUAAUUGUAAAUGUUAAACUAUAUGAAUAGGCGAUAGCUAGAUAGAAUAACUCAUGUGAAAUGUGAUCCUGUGAAACCUAUCACCUACGAUGUCACGUGAUCACAAGCGCCGCACCUUGAGGAACGCCGCAUUUCCCCGGGCAGUUGGGUGGAGAGCUCCGGUCUGGCCAGCUGGGUGUGCACGGUGCGCGGUGUCCUGUGUGUGGACUCUGUCACGAGACAGUUGCACGUGUGUAUCGUGCUUGUAAAAGGCAGGGAAAUAAGUGCAAGUGACAUUGUGUAAGUGACUUCAUUGUGGUGACAAGAACAGUGACAGACAGAUUACAUAUCCCUGUGCUGAAAUUCAGUUCUCUUCGGCUCAGUACUUAGGUGGUAUUGUAUGUAAACUGUAAAUAUUUGUACUAACUGUACAAAGGGUUUGCCUAAUUACCUGGGUAUUGAAAGACAGUAAAUUGCCUCUAACCACUCGAAGGCUCUACUAAUGCUGUGUUAAAUAAGCAGUAACACUACGCCCUGCAUCUUACGCAGCAUUACAUAUGUGGUGAUAGAUAACAUAAAAUGGUGUCGCAGCUAAUGGGAUAUGAAAACUACAAGUAAGCUGUCAUAAUACCCAGAAAACCCUUAAAAAUUUAUUUUGUGGAACGAGACGAGACAUUCUGGUGAGCGAAUCCUUGUGGCUAAAGGGCAGAGCGAAGUGGUAGUGGAGAGCGCUUGGACGUGGAUGUUUACCCACUUCAGCAGAAAACACCGGAGGGUCGCCCUGCUGAGGUCAGCAACCAGCAGCCAGGAGCAGACACAACAACCGCCAAGGCGCCCCACCACACGCUCCCCCCAGUCCCCUCACCACUCGUCACGUUCACAGAGAAAGACACGCAGCGGUUGCAGGGGCUGCAAGGAGCGACGUACUAAGGGCACGAGACUACAGAGGUGCCGUGACGUCGGUACUUCCUUAUCAGACGGUCUGACGCCGUCAAGGUCUGCCCCGAGUCGUCAGCUGUGACCUGCAGAGGGACGGAGAAGAGGACUAUUCUUCCCCUCAUCGCAGAAGAAAUUACACUCACACCUUAGGUGAGACCAUGCACUGAGCUGACACUACAUUAUACAUUACAUUAUUAAAAUAUAAAUUACAUCCUUUGAUUAUAUUGGGAUGGUGAAUGUGACUCACGUUUUCUAAGGUUGACUGAUGGGCCAUGUGAGUAGUCAAGUGUAAACUUGCAGCUCUUAAUUAAUGUUGUAUGUCUCAUAUCAUUAUAUGUUUCUUCUUCCACGUGUUCCCUUAAUUAAGGAACUUUGAAAGCAUCUUUAAGGGCAGUAUAGAAAACAUAUAAUAAUAAUAAUAAUAAUAAUAAUGAUAAUAAUAAUAAUAAUAAUAAUAAUAUACAUUAGUUAAAUGAUUAAGGUUCUCUUGUAACUUGACCUUGCUUAACAAAAUAUUAUGAACAGGAAUAUAAGUAUUGUGAUAAUAAUCACCCUUUCCUUAAUUAUUCAUAAUUAUCAAAUGAUUAAUGAUUAUUCAUGGCAGAAAGCAAGAGAUAAACUAAAUAAAGAAUACUAGAAGCUUUGCGAGUCGGAUGAUAACAAUGAAAUAGAAGGCGCUGAUGACAGUAGUGGUGAUAGCGGGAAUUAAGGUGAUGAAGAAAAUCUUCAGACACUGAGAAGUGGUAUUCAACACCCGAGAGUUUCACCUGCUGAUACUAGUCCUUCUGUAUCGCUGCUUCCUUCUUCCUUUCAACUAAUCAUGAGUAGUCUAACCACAUCUGGUACGGGUGAACCUGCACCACCACCCGCACCUCAAACUCACACUCAUGCACCAAUCAGAUCGUUACAAACCUCGGUAUCGGUUCGAGCGUUCACAGGCACCGAAGGUAAUUACAAUGCACGUGAUUUUAUCGAACACUGUGAGAAUGUAAUGAGAAUUUCAUGCAUCGUAGACGACGCGGAUAAGAUUGCAUUUGUCCGUUCACGUCUUGAACCAGGAUCGCCAGCCGGGAGAGGAAUGGUCGCAAGUGCAUUCACUAAACCCAUCCGGAACAAUGACUAUGGUUCUUUCCGUACCAACUUCUUGAUAAUCUUUGCAGGAGAUGGCCAUCGUAGUCUCGUAAGAGGAGUCAUUAAUGCUGUGAGGACCUUGGUAGCGGAUGUAGCUUCUUUAAACAUGCUUGAGAGUCAGGUGCUAGCUAACCGAAUCACGCAAGACUUCGACAAGUAUCUAAUAGACAAUGGGUGGAACGAAGGAGGGUACAUUUCAAUGGAAAACCAUAAUAAGUUCAUUGAAUUCUUCAUCUACAUGCUAUCUGUAAAAGGGGAGUGCCGAGAAAGCGCAACAUCCCUUGAUUACAAACUUACCGAAGACCUGCUUGACUUUGUACAAAGAAACAAAGCAAAGCUUGAAGAAAAGGGCAACAAGGCUCUUACUAUAGGUGCAACUCAAGCAGAACAAGGUGAACCUCCUUACGCAGCAGUGGCAGCCACUCAUAAAGGGAGCGUUACUUGCCAAUACUGUCAGCGAGAGGGACAUACCAUUGACAGAUGUUAUCUCAAAAGGAAAGAGAAUCGCCAAAGAAAGAAAACUGAUGUUGAUGGCCAAGAAAAUUACAAAAGUAACAGUAAUAAAGGGCAGCAACAUGAAAACUUGUCUCGAAAUCAGCGAAAACCAACCCAAAUGGCCAACACAGCUUCAGGAAACAACAAUGACAGCGAGUUGUCCCGAGGCGCCAGAAAUAAUGCUCCUUUCUGUACUCUUCAUCAGUGCACUGGACACUCCACCGAAGAGUGUUACUCAUUUCUCAGUCUUCAGAGAAAAAUGAGAAAACUCCUUGGAGCUGGCGCUACACAGUCGGGGGAAGCGACGCGCCCCAUGAAACACAAACCAGGAUAGAAAACCAUCGCUGGAGUCAAAAGACUGCAGAUCAGGCAGAUGAUAGUGCUCUGCGUGAGUUUUUAAUAGCCUCUUGCAGUCAGACCAACGUAAUGGUUCCACCUACAAAAGUAGGACCUGUGAAGGCUUCUUUUGCGGUAGAUACAGGCGCUGCUGUAAAUGUCCUCUCUGGAAGAGCGUAUUUGGCAUUAAAACGCGCGUCACGUGGCAGCCGAUGGCCUCUCAGGCAAAAUUAUAAAAAUCUGAUAGGAAUUUCCCGCGUACCUCAAAAUUUUGGGAAUUGUUCGUCUUCCUGUUAUAUUGGAUAAAAGUACUGCAACCAUUCGUUUGGAUUUCUACGUUGUUUCCGACUUCAGUUUGUCAUCAGAUGGAUUGCUGGGUUUGGAAUCAAUGCAGGCCAAUAAGAUGGUGAUUCACACAGAUACUAGUACAGUGAGAUUCCAAGGGAAGACUUUUAGAGCAAUGGGUCAUCCCAGGUGUGCUACAGGUAAAUUGUCAGAUUUAGACAGUUGCCAAACUGAGUAUCUUCUCUUAUAUUUUUGCCCAGCAUCUCGUUUUGCCUUCUUGUCUGUUACUAGUCACGGAAUUUGCGAAGUAGUGCUCACUCAAGAAGAUGCUGCUAACGCCCUUACCUUAUGUCCAUAUAAACAUUUGGUCCUUAAACCUUUCUUUCACGCAAGUUUCUAUGGACACCACAAUUUCUUUUUUCACACAAACUUACUAUGUGUUUGUGGUUUGUCCUGAUGGUUCUGAAUAUAAGGGAGUUUCAGGUCAUUUUACAAUUCUAAAUGCUCGUUCCUUGCUAUCUGACAAACUGAACACUUUCCCUGAAAAAAUAAAUGGAGGUUUUGUGUCUAAUCUUAGUUCCAGAAUUUUUCUUCUUGGUACUUUGAGUAAGUUAAAUCUUGCAAAUAUCAAAUUCGUGACCAAUACCUUAUCUGAGUUUACUUUCUCUAAUAUCUCAGAACUAGAAAAUGUAGUUCAUGACUCUCUACCUGUGUAUCUUAGUCCCUGUGUGCAUAUUCCAACAGUCAUCAUACAUAUCAUUAUUUCACUUGUCCUACUGAUUUCUUUGUACUGUUGUGUUCGAAAAGCCCUGAAGUUGUAUAACUAUCUCGGUAGAAGAAUCAAGCAAAAUAACAUGAGUCAAUAGAACACAUGACAGUGACAUGGGUAGGUACAUACCUAUAGGUUUUGCCGUAAGGCGCGACAACGUGGCAGUAGGUGUGCCCAGCGAUGUUAGCACACAGUGUAGGGAACCAUUGUAACUGUAGAUCAGAACCUUCUAGAAGCAUAAGUGGAAAUUUCCUAUUCUGACGCCCGCUGGGAGAAGUGUCUAAUUGCUGUUUGUUCUCUUAGUUUACUGGUAAAUAUUAAGAUAGGAAUAACUAUUAUAUGCAAUAAUAAAAUAAUAAUUGAUAAUUGUAAAUGUUAAACUAUAUGAAUAGGCGAUAGCUAGAUAGAAUAACUCGCAUGUGAAAUGUGAUCCUGUGAAACCUAUCACCUACGAUGUCACGUGACCACAAGCGCCGCACCUUGAGGAACGCCGCAUUGCCCUGGACAGUUGGGUGGAGAGCUCCGGUUUGGCCAGCUGGGUGUGCACGGUGCGCGGUGUCCUGUGUGUGGACUCUGUCACGAGACAGUUGCACGUGUGUAUCGUGCUUGUAAAAGGCAGGGAAAUAAGUGCAAGUGACUGUGUAAGUGACUUCAUUGUGGUGACAAGAACAGUGACAGACAGAUUACAUAUCCCUGUGCUGAAAUUCAGUUCUCUUUGGCUCAGUACUUAAGUGGUAUUGUAUGUAAACUGUAAAUAUAUGUACUAAUUGUACAAA